AACGACGCUGGCGGCAGGCCUAACACAUGCAAGUCGAACGCCCCGCAAGGGGAGUGGCAGACGGGUGAGUAACACGUGGGAACAUGCCCUUCGGUACGGAAUAACUCAGGGAAACUUGUGCUAAUACCGUAUACGUCCGAGAGGAGAAAGAUUUAUCGCCGAAGGAUUGGCCCGCGUCUGAUUAGCUAGUUGGUGAGGUAAUGGCUCACCAAGGCGACGAUCAGUAGCUGGUCUGAGAGGAUGAUCAGCCACAUUGGGACUGAGACACGGCCCAAACUCCUACGGGAGGCAGCAGUGGGGAAUAUUGGACAAUGGGCGCAAGCCUGAUCCAGCCAUGCCGCGUGAGUGAUGAAGGCCUUAGGGUUGUAAAGCUCUUUUACCCGGGAAGAUAAUGACUGUACCGCAAGAAUAAGCCCCGGCUAACUUCGUG
Molecule: ribosomal RNA, 430 nt
Filed under: uncultured bacterium
Lineage: Bacteria
Description: bacterial SSU rRNA
Rfam family: Bacterial small subunit ribosomal RNA
Source: RNAcentral